Molecule: ribosomal RNA, 253 nt
Filed under: uncultured bacterium
Lineage: Bacteria
Description: partial 16S ribosomal RNA
Rfam family: Bacterial small subunit ribosomal RNA
Source: RNAcentral
UACAGAGGUCCCAAGCGUUGUUCGGAUUCACUGGGCGUAAAGGGUGCGUAGGUGGUCGGGUAAGUUUGAUGUGAAAUCUCCGAGCUUAACUCGGAAAUGGCAUUGGAUACUAUUCGACUGGAGGGUUGGAGGGGGGACUGGAAUUCUCGGUGUAGCAGUGAAAUGCGUAGAUAUCGAGAGGAACACCAGUGGCGAAGGCGAGUCCCUAGACAACUCCUGACACUGAGGCACGAAAGCUAGGGGAGCAAACAGG